This is an RNA transcript of Hemicordylus capensis (graceful crag lizard), 4029 nucleotides long. It is a transcript of the gene named protein tyrosine phosphatase non-receptor type 12, with no coding region annotated. The transcript has 3 exons. The record is from RefSeq and is a predicted model, not a curated record. Lineage: Eukaryota; Metazoa; Chordata; Lepidosauria; Squamata; Cordylidae.
UCAGCUGUUUUUGAACUACAACUCCCAUAAUCCCCAACCACAGUGGCCCAUAGCCAGGGAUUAUGGGAAUUGUAGGGCAACAUCUGCAGGAGGGCCAAAGUUGAGCAGCCUAGGUAUUAAAGACACCUAUAUGCAGAUUCUCUUACCUGGCAUUGGCAUGUACUGUCUCCUCUUAUCAUUUGAGUUUUUUGACCAGCUGUCAUGUGUUUCCUUCUGAUCUACCUUUGAUUCUACUCUGUUCCAUUCUGGUUUAUCUGAAACAUUUGCACCCUCACACCUUAAGGGAUUUUGCUUGCUGGACCAGGUACCACCCAGUUCUUGUCGGCAAUCCCCCCCUUGUGUCAUUUUAAAAUCUGCUCUGUGACCUUUUUGAUUUUAAGUGCCAGCAGUGUGGUUCCAUCUUGGUUCAAGUGGAACCCAUUCGUUUUGUAGAGGCUUCACUUGGCCCCAAAAUGUAUCCCAGUGCCUAACAAAUCUAAACCCCUCCUCCCGGCACCACCAGCUCAUCCAUGCAUUGAGACCCCUCAGCUGAUCCUGUGCAUGGAACAGGUAGCACUUCAGAGAAUGCUACCCUGGGAGUCCUGGAAUUCAGUAUGGAAUUUAGCAGCCUAACUGGCUUCCAGUACCUCCCAACUGCAUUUUCCAACAUAGUUGGUGCUGAUGUGCACCAUGGCAGCUGAUUCCUCCUUAGCACUGACUAAAAGCCUAUCUAGACAUUGUGUGAUGUCUGCAACCUUCGCACCAGGUAGGCAAGUCACUGUGUGGUCUACACGCGGGUCAAAGACCCAUCUCUCUGUGGCCCUAAUGAUCAAGUCACCUACUACUAGGAGACCCCACCCCCUAGAGGAGUUUCCUCUGUGCGAGAGGAUCUGGAUGCAUCGCCCAAGGAAGGGUUCCCUGUUAAGGGAGUGUUUCCCUCUUCCUCAGACUGAUGUCAUCCUUCCCUGAGACCUUCAUUCUCCAUGGCAGCAGAGCAGCUGUCAACCUGGGAGUGGGAUGCCUCUAUCACAUCCCUGAGGGUCUCAUCUAUAUACCUCUCUGCCUUCCUGAGCUUCUGUGGGUCAGCCACCUUGGCUUCAAGGGAACAAACUUAUUCCCCAAGAGCCAGGAGCUCCUUGUACCAAUCACACACCCAGGACUUCGGCCCCUUAGGCAGAUAGUCAUAAAUCCAACACUCAGUGUAAUACACUGUGAAGCACUCCCUCUCCUGCUGGCAUUCUACCUUCAUAACUGGUUUGAUUGGAUAUAGGGCUUGUUCACUUGAAACUAGGUAUUGGGUGCAGUUGUCAGCUAAUUAAAGGUUUUUCCUGGUUAUGGGGAGGGCAUCCGUGAAUGAUGGGUCGUCAAUCACUGCAUGCUCCGAGACAGGGCCAAUGAAAAACGAGCAACACAUCUACUCCCUGGUAUCUGCCCCCUGUCACCCAGUUCUGGUCCUGUCUUCGCUCCGGGACAGAUCUAUUGCUGACUCCUAUCUGGUCCCUCCUUUAGCUAUUUUUUUCUCUGUGUGCAAGGGGGGGAAAGGAGUUGCCUCCUUUUGUGCCGGUCUUGUGAGUUUUUACCUGUGUCUGCUUGUGGUUGUGUUCCUUAGUGUUUGUCUUCGUUUGGAUUCGUAUUUCCCCUGUUGUGUUUUGGCGCUUAUAAUGGAAUUAGCUCACAUGGGAGACAUGUUAAAGGGCUCUUUAUCGGAGGGUCCUCUGUCUGAUACUCCCAGAGAUAUCCCUAAUGUUCCUUCGGGAGCAGGGGACGGCGGAAAUCAUUUCAAUGAUUCUGAACUCUCAAAACCGAUUGAGGUAGAGAGAAAUGGUGCCGGGCAACCACGAGCGGUAUUGACUAAGCCCUUAAAGGCACUUAAGAAAUCUAAGCACCUUAAAGACGCUGAUGGCGCUAAGAGGAAGAAGAAGGCAAAAAAGGGCGACUCCAAAAAAGCUCCUCUCAGUGUAAGGCUUCAGAUACGAGCCGUUAGGAGCCAGCAGCGGGAGAAGGCGACCUCUCUCAUUCCCGCCGAAACUGCGCCCGCCAUUUUAACCGCUCCUUUACCUACCGUUUUGCCCGGGCAGUCUGCCUUAUUGACUGAAAUGGCGGCUACUGAAACGGCCGUUGAGGGAGGAAAAAACCGAGCAGAUGUGAGCGUCUCUCCGGCAAAAGCCUCCGGCGAUCCCCGGAAUGCCGCUAUGGGCACAGGCGGGGAGUUCAAGGCAGCCUUAUCGGGAAAUGACGGGGCGGGGGGAAUUUCCCUACCCGCUGUCGGCCCUAACGGAGAGCCUUUGUCAUCUAAGGAGCUCUCCUGGUUAAGCUCAUUCAUAGAGCGACAUUGCAGGGCAGUGGUUUCCCCCCUCUUGGAGCAGGCAGGCGCGCCCCAGCAGACAGGCGCUUCUCAGGGGCUUACCGGGCAUUCGAUCACUUUGGCUCCUCCUGCCUCGCAACGUAAGGGCCGUCGGCCGUCCUUUUCGUCUUCCCCUGGGUCCAGCCCGGUCAGGCAAGCUAUCCCGGUGGGGGAACGGGUCUGGCUGGCCAGAGAAUUAAGAAAACGCAGGCAACAAGGUCCCUUUGACCUGUCUUCAUCUGAGGAGGAGGACAUUCGGGGGCAGGCUGUCAGUUUAACCAAACGCUCACGCCUGGAUGCAAACACUGCGCGAGUACAGCGCAAGGGCACAGAGAUCAUCCCUAAUCCAGAGGCCAGGGGAGUGACCCAGCCAACAGGGCAGGCAGAUAUCUCCCUAUCGUGCCCACAGGCUGCCCAGCAUUUUCCAGACGCGACAGGCUCGGGUUCGAGUUCAGCCACCUCUGACAAGGAAGAGGGUGAACUCUCAGACGAACAGACGCCCACGGACAAACCCUCUACAACUAGGUUAUUUGCUAUGACUGAGUUUGAAGUGCUUCUGGCCAAAGCCAAGAGGGCUAUUAAGGACGUAUCUAAGGAAACGUCCCCUAACCCUACGCCUGGGUUGGAUCAGGAGGUUUUUCCAUCCACGUCCUCCUGUCAGGCCACGGUCCCCUUCCCUGCUUUAUUUAAGGAAGUAAUGUUGGCAGAAUGGGGGGUGCCAGUGGCCUCUAAACCCGCUCUCUAUUUUCCUAAAAAGCUGUACAAUUUACCAUCUGAUGUUAUGUCUCUGUUGGCAGUUCCUGUCGUCGAUGCCCCAGUGGCUCAACUGGUGACUGGCGCUUUGGUUAACAAGGAGGGCGAGGAGUUCCUCAGGUCUCCGGAAGAAAAGAAAACGGAUCAUCUCCUGAAGAAAAGUCAUGAGGCCUCGGCGACCGUUAUUAGAGCGGCAGCCACUAACUCUGUGUUCGCAAGGGCCACCAUAUUGUGGACCAAGGAAUUGGCCAAACUUGUUCCCCCUGAAAAUAAAAAACUCAGACAGGGUCUGAACAAGAUUGCCAGGGCAUCUGCCCUUAUGGCUGACUCUAGUCUGGACUGCUUGCAGCAUGCGUCCAGAUCAAUGGCUGCUAGUGUGGCGGUUAGAAGGGGGCUAUGGCUGCGACAUUGGAGAGUCGAUUCUAAGUCAAAAUCCACAUUGGCGGCUACUCCUUUCCGUGGGGCAAAAUUGUUCGGGGAAGCGUUGGAGCCGGUUCUAGUAGAGACGCGUGACAAGAAAAAGGCGAUGCCUGUGGGGCGUGGGGAUGUUAGGAGAUCCUUUCGGACGGGCUCGGGUUUUCAGUAUUCCUUUCGCCCCUACAGAUCCUUCAACCGCCCUGGUUCAGCCGGAGUCCGAGACGGCUUCAGAGACAGAGAGUUCCGGGGAUCUCAGUACAGACACCCUUGGCGCCAAUCCUGGAAUACCAAAACCAGAGGAUCAGGCCGUAAGACGGGGUUCUAUGGAACUUCUCAGGAACACCGGAACCAGACUGAGGAGGCUAUCAACCAAGUAUAGAACAGAAAAGAUCUAUCCAACAGUUACUGGAGAAAAAGAAGAAAAUGUGAAAAAGAACAGAUACAAGGAUAUCCUGCCAUUUGAUCACAGCAGAGUUAAACUUACUUUAAAAACUCCCCCACAAGAUUCAGACUACAUCAAUGCAAAUUUUAUUAAG